AAAUAAGAAGCAAAUUUUGCAUUUAAUUUCGACUUAAAAAUCUGAUAAUCACUAUCCUUAUUUU
RNAcentral lists this transfer RNA (64 nucleotides) under Curculionoidea sp. 28 KM-2017. Its description in RNAcentral is "tRNA-Arg". Lineage: Eukaryota; Metazoa; Arthropoda; Insecta; Coleoptera. The record is from RNAcentral.